Molecule: ribosomal RNA, 2925 nt
Filed under: Shigella flexneri
Lineage: Bacteria; Pseudomonadati; Pseudomonadota; Gammaproteobacteria; Enterobacterales; Enterobacteriaceae
Description: bacterial LSU rRNA
Rfam family: Bacterial large subunit ribosomal RNA
Source: RNAcentral
GGGUUGUGAGGUUAAGCGACUAAGCGUACACGGUGGAUGCCCUGGCAGUCAGAGGCGAUGAAGGACGUGCUAAUCUGCGAUAAGCGUCGGUAAGGUGAUAUGAACCGUUAUAACCGGCGAUUUCCGAAUGGGGAAACCCAGUGUGAUUCGUCACACUAUCAUUAACUGAAUCCAUAGGUUAAUGAGGCGAACCGGGGGAACUGAAACAUCUAAGUACCCCGAGGAAAAGAAAUCAACCGAGAUUCCCCCAGUAGCGGCGAGCGAACGGGGAGCAGCCCAGAGCCUGAAUCAGUGUGUGUGUUAGUGGAAGCGUCUGGAAAGGCGUGCGAUACAGGGUGACAGCCCCGUACACAAAAAUGCACAUACUGUGAGCUCGAUGAGUAGGGCGGGACACGUGGUAUCCUGUCUGAAUAUGGGGGGACCAUCCUCCAAGGCUAAAUACUCCUGACUGACCGAUAGUGAACCAGUACCGUGAGGGAAAGGCGAAAAGAACCCCGGCGAGGGGAGUGAAAAAGAACCUGAAACCGUGUACGUACAAGCAGUGGGAGCACGCUUAGGCGUGUGACUGCGUACCUUUUGUAUAAUGGGUCAGCGACUUAUAUUCUGUAGCAAGGUUAACCGAAUAGGGGAGCCGAAGGGAAACCGAGUCUUAACUGGGCGUUAAGUUGCAGGGUAUAGACCCGAAACCCGGUGAUCUAGCCAUGGGCAGGUUGAAGGUUGGGUAACACUAACUGGAGGACCGAACCGACUAAUGUUGAAAAAUUAGCGGAUGACUUGUGGCUGGGGGUGAAAGGCCAAUCAAACCGGGAGAUAGCUGGUUCUCCCCGAAAGCUAUUUAGGUAGCGCCUCGUGAAUUCAUCUCCGGGGGUAGAGCACUGUUUCGGCAAGGGGGUCAUCCCGACUUACCAACCCGAUGCAAACUGCGAAUACCGGAGAAUGUUAUCACGGGAGACACACGGCGGGUGCUAACGUCCGUCGUGAAGAGGGAAACAACCCAGACCGCCAGCUAAGGUCCCAAAGUCAUGGUUAAGUGGGAAACGAUGUGGGAAGGCCCAGACAGCCAGGAUGUUGGCUUAGAAGCAGCCAUCAUUUAAAGAAAGCGUAAUAGCUCACUGGUCGAGUCGGCCUGCGCGGAAGAUGUAACGGGGCUAAACCAUGCACCGAAGCUGCGGCAGCGACGCUUAUGCGUUGUUGGGUAGGGGAGCGUUCUGUAAGCCUGUGAAGGUGUGCUGUGAGGUAUGCUGGAGGUAUCAGAAGUGCGAAUGCUGACAUAAGUAACGAUAAAGCGGGUGAAAAGCCCGCUCGCCGGAAGACCAAGGGUUCCUGUCCAACGUUAAUCGGGGCAGGGUGAGUCGACCCCUAAGGCGAGGCCGAAAGGCGUAGUCGAUGGGAAACAGGUUAAUAUUCCUGUACUUGGUGUUACUGCGAAGGGGGGACGGAGAAGGCUAUGUUGGCCGGGCGACGGUUGUCCCGGUUUAAGCGUGUAGGCUGGUUUUCCAGGCAAAUCCGGAAAAUCAAGGCCGAGGCGUGAUGACGAGGCACUACGGUGCUGAAGCAACAAAUGCCCUGCUUCCAGGAAAAGCCUCUAAGCAUCAGGUAACAUCAAAUCGUACCCCAAACCGACACAGGUGGUCAGGUAGAGAAUACCAAGGCGCUUGAGAGAACUCGGGUGAAGGAACUAGGCAAAAUGGUGCCGUAACUUCGGGAGAAGGCACGCUGAUACGUAGGUGAAGCGACUUGCUCGUGGAGCUGAAAUCAGUCGAAGAUACCAGCUGGCUGCAACUGUUUAUUAAAAACACAGCACUGUGCAAACACGAAAGUGGACGUAUACGGUGUGACGCCUGCCCGGUGCCGGAAGGUUAAUUGAUGGGGUUAGCGCAAGCGAAGCUCUUGAUCGAAGCCCCGGUAAACGGCGGCCGUAACUAUAACGGUCCUAAGGUAGCGAAAUUCCUUGUCGGGUAAGUUCCGACCUGCACGAAUGGCGUAAUGAUGGCCAGGCUGUCUCCACCCGAGACUCAGUGAAAUUGAACUCGCUGUGAAGAUGCAGUGUACCCGCGGCAAGACGGAAAGACCCCGUGAACCUUUACUAUAGCUUGACACUGAACAUUGAGCCUUGAUGUGUAGGAUAGGUGGGAGGCUUUGAAGUGUGGACGCCAGUCUGCAUGGAGCCGACCUUGAAAUACCACCCUUUAAUGUUUGAUGUUCUAACGUGGACCCGUAAUCCGGGUUGCGGACAGUGUCUGGUGGGUAGUUUGACUGGGGCGGUCUCCUCCUAAAGAGUAACGGAGGAGCACGAAGGUUGGCUAAUCCUGGUCGGACAUCAGGAGGUUAGUGCAAUGGCAUAAGCCAGCUUGACUGCGAGCGUGACGGCGCGAGCAGGUGCGAAAGCAGGUCAUAGUGAUCCGGUGGUUCUGAAUGGAAGGGCCAUCGCUCAACGGAUAAAAGGUACUCCGGGGAUAACAGGCUGAUACCGCCCAAGAGUUCAUAUCGACGGCGGUGUUUGGCACCUCGAUGUCGGCUCAUCACAUCCUGGGGCUGAAGUAGGUCCCAAGGGUAUGGCUGUUCGCCAUUUAAAGUGGUACGCGAGCUGGGUUUAGAACGUCGUGAGACAGUUCGGUCCCUAUCUGCCGUGGGCGCUGGAGAACUGAGGGGGGCUGCUCCUAGUACGAGAGGACCGGAGUGGACGCAUCACUGGUGUUCGGGUUGUCAUGCCAAUGGCACUGCCCGGUAGCUAAAUGCGGAAGAGAUAAGUGCUGAAAGCAUCUAAGCACGAAACUUGCCCCGAGAUGAGUUCUCCCUGACCCUUUAAGGGUCCUGAAGGAACGUUGAAGACGACGACGUUGAUAGGCCGGGUGUGUAAGCGCAGCGAUGCGUUGAGCUAACCGGUACUAAUGAACCGUGAGGCUUAACCUUACAACGCCGAAG